This 670-nucleotide long non-coding RNA is filed under the name Coffea arabica (coffee). RNAcentral's name for it is "long non-coding RNA (CARA_LNC003915)". Lineage: Eukaryota; Viridiplantae; Streptophyta; Magnoliopsida; Gentianales; Rubiaceae. The record is from RNAcentral.
CCCAGAAGCUCUUGGAUAAGAAGACUAGCUUUCCGUUCUACUCUUUCAUGUUUAGGUAGGUGAUGCAUAGAGAAUGGAUAAUAGAAUUGUGAAAGCAAAAAGACCCACUUUCCUCAAAGGAAGCCGCUUAACUGAUUUAGUUUAGACUCUAAUCGAGACCAGGCGAAAGAUGAAAGGCAUAGUUGAAAAAAGCUGCUACUUUUUUUACUCUUAAAAGAGGAGUUUCGUUACUUCCUGGCUUGUUUCGCAUAGGCUACACAAAGCUAUGUUUGAUUCCUGUCACCUUUCUUGUGGAUCAUCCGGCGGUUAACGGAUUAUGGGACGAAGAACGAAAAACGAAAAGGGAUGCCAUUUUCACUCAUCUGUUUUGUCUACCUUUUCAAGAAUUUUAUGAUGGAAGCUUAUAAAAUUCAUGAAAUUCUUUCUUGGAUAUUUGGAUGAAUUUGGAUUUUAGGGCCAUUGUUUUGGAAGAAUCAUUGGAGACAGAACCGCGGGCGGUGGUGGCGAUUGGCGUUAGUAGAGAGAAAUGGCAGAGGAAAAUAGUGAGAGGAUAUGAAUAACUUUUAGAAAAUUUUAAAAAUGCAUCACUAAUUAUAAAAUUUGUAAAAAUACCUAUGAUAAUUAAGUCAAAACACCAAAAUUAAAAGAAAAAAUGGCAAUAAAAUAAAAA